CCGUCGUCACACUUUUGGCUUUUCUUCGAGAUAGUGCCGAUUUAAUGGGUACCCAUUCUAUCCAUAUUUUUAAUUUUUAAAUAUAUUAUCGGUUCGUAUUUGAUAUAUUGGUAAUAUAUUUUUAUUCCACAAAUAGUUUUAAAAAAUUGUCAUGUAUCUCCUCUUUUAAAAUAAUUAGUUUUUAAUAUUUUAUUAUACUCUUAUAUAACACUUAUUAACCCCUUGACCCUACUUGUGGAGUCUAAAUAUAUUAUGUGACUAUUUUUAUUCUUUUCGUUUCCUUUUACUCAUAAUAUAUGUGUCACGAAAGGUAAUAGUUUCAGUGACGCUAUAACACCCCCCCACCCGACCCGAUCGCUAAGACUGAGCUACAGGAUGCUACAGUUGUUGCCGGAACAACUACAAAUAUUUAACAUUCGAUUUACAUCAUAAUACAAGUAUACAUAAACAUUCCAAAUCAUUAUCAUAAUAUAUAACCUUUCCCGGGUCUUAUACAAGCCUAUGCAUGCUCUAAAGAAAGCCCGAGAUCGAACAAGGAUCAAAUUGCAACAUUUUAAAAAUUGUAGGUCAUCCUCACGACGUAAGGGAGUUCCUCGUUGCAACGUGACAUACUGACUUGGCUCAUUGUGACGACAAGGUUCCUUAUCACACCGUGGUAUGAAAUCCAGAGCUCUUCGCAACAACCAUCGCCUGAUGUCGCGACAUGGACUAUGUUUUUGGCACAAAUUAGGCCAUUUGGUACCUAUUUCAGGACAACACUCACCACAAGGUUUGGUGCAUAAUUGCACAACCUAACUUGCACAAUAUGUCAUACCCCAAAUUUGACAGAUCUAAAAAGAAGGCGUGUAGAUAUUACAUGUUUUGGCGA
This 868-nucleotide long non-coding RNA is filed under the name Gossypium raimondii (Peruvian cotton). RNAcentral's name for it is "long non-coding RNA (GRAI_LNC008688)". Lineage: Eukaryota; Viridiplantae; Streptophyta; Magnoliopsida; Malvales; Malvaceae. The record is from RNAcentral.